This 1004-nucleotide ribosomal RNA is filed under the name Nectriaceae sp. YTH-2012a. RNAcentral's name for it is "SSU rRNA". It matches the Rfam family "Eukaryotic small subunit ribosomal RNA", at positions 73 to 1087 of the family's 1831-position model. The record is from RNAcentral. Lineage: Eukaryota; Fungi; Ascomycota; Sordariomycetes; Hypocreales; Nectriaceae.
AUUAUACCGCGAAACUGCGAAUGGCUCAUUAUAUAAGUUAUCGUUUAUUUGAUAGUACCUUACUACUUGGAUAACCGUGGUAAUUCUAGAGCUAAUACAUGCUAAAAAUCCCGACUUCGGAAGGGAUGUAUUUAUUAGAUUAAAAACCAAUGCCCUUCGGGGCUCCUUGGUGAUUCAUGAUAACUCCUCGAAUCGCAUGGCCUUGCGCCGGCGAUGGUUCAUUCAAAUUUCUUCCCUAUCAACUUUCGAUGUUUGGGUAUUGGCCAAACAUGGUUGCAACGGGUAACGGAGGGUUAGGGCUCGACCCCGGAGAAGGAGCCUGAGAAACGGCUACUACAUCCAAGGAAGGCAGCAGGCGCGCAAAUUACCCAAUCCCGACUCGGGGAGGUAGUGACAAUAAAUACUGAUACAGGGCUCUUUUGGGUCUUGUAAUUGGAAUGAGUACAAUUUAAAUCCCUUAACGAGGAACAAUUGGAGGGCAAGUCUGGUGCCAGCAGCCGCGGUAAUUCCAGCUCCAAUAGCGUAUAUUAAAGUUGUUGUGGUUAAAAAGCUCGUAGUUGAACCUUGGGCCUGGCUGGCCGGUCCGCCUCACCGCGUGUACUGGUCCGGCCGGGCCUUUCCCUCUGUGGAACCCCAUGCCCUUCACUGGGUGUGGCGGGGAAACAGGACUUUUACUUUGAAAAAAUUAGAGUGCUCCAGGCAGGCCUAUGCUCGAAUACAUUAGCAUGGAAUAAUGAAAUAGGACGUGUGGUUCUAUUUUGUUGGUUUCUAGGACCGCCGUAAUGAUUAAUAGGGACAGUCGGGGGCAUCAGUAUUCAAUUGUCAGAGGUGAAAUUCUUGGAUUUAUUGAAGACUAACUACUGCGAAAGCAUUUGCCAAGGAUGUUUUCAUUAAUCAGGAACGAAAGUUAGGGGAUCGAAGACGAUCAGAUACCGUCGUAGUCUUAACCAUAAACUAUGCCGACUAGGGAUCGGACGAUGUUAUAAUUUGACUCGUUCGGCACC